AUUGAACGCUUUCUUCAUUCCUAACACAUGCAAGUCGAACGGUAACAGAAAGCAGCUUGCUGCUUUGCUGACGAGUGGCGGACGGGUGAGUAAUGUCUGGGAAACUGCCUGAUGGAGGGGGAUAACUACUGGAAACGGUAGCUAAUACCGCAUAACGUCGCAAGACCAAAGAGGGGGACCUUCGGGCCUCUUGCCAUCGGAUGUGCCCAGAUGGGAUUAGCUUGUUGGUGGGGUAACGGCUCACCAAGGCGACGAUCCCUAGCUGGUCUGAGAGGAUGACCAGCCACACUGGAACUGAGACACGGUCCAGACUCCUACGGGAGGCAGCAGUGGGGAAUAUUGCACAAUGGGCGCAAGCCUGAUGCAGCCAUGCCGCGUGUAUGAAGAAGGCCUUCGGGUUGUAAAGUACUUUCAGCGGGGAGGAAGGGAGUAAAGUUAAUACCUUUGCUCAUUGACGUUACCCGCAGAAGAAGCACCGGCUAACUCCGUG
This 490-nucleotide ribosomal RNA is filed under the name uncultured bacterium. RNAcentral's name for it is "partial 16S ribosomal RNA". It matches the Rfam family "Bacterial small subunit ribosomal RNA", at positions 30 to 507 of the family's 1533-position model. The record is from RNAcentral.